This 316-nucleotide ribosomal RNA is filed under the name uncultured soil bacterium. Its description in RNAcentral is "bacterial SSU rRNA". It matches the Rfam family "Bacterial small subunit ribosomal RNA", at positions 26 to 334 of the family's 1533-position model. The record is from RNAcentral.
AGAGUGAACGCUGGCGGUAGGCCUAACACAUGCAAGUCGAACGGCAGCACAGUAGGAGCUUGCUCUUACGGGUGGCGAGUGGCGGACGGGUGAGGAAUACAUCGGAAUCUACCUUUUGGUGGGGGAUAACGUAGGGAAACUUACGCUAAUACCGCAUACGCCCUUCGGGGGAAAGCCGGGGACCAGCAAUGGCCUGGCGCUGAUAGAUGAGCCGAUGUCGGAUUAGCUAGUUGGUGAGGUAAUGGCUCACCAAGGCGACGAUCCGUAGCUGGUCUGAGAGGAUGAUCAGCCACACUGGAACUGAGACACGGUCCAG